This 771-nucleotide ribosomal RNA is filed under the name uncultured Enterobacteriaceae bacterium. RNAcentral describes it as "bacterial SSU rRNA". It matches the Rfam family "Bacterial small subunit ribosomal RNA", at positions 730 to 1502 of the family's 1533-position model. Lineage: Bacteria; Pseudomonadati; Pseudomonadota; Gammaproteobacteria; Enterobacterales; Enterobacteriaceae. The record is from RNAcentral.
CUGACAGAUACUGACGCUGAGAUGCGAAAGCGUGGGGAGCAAACAGGAUUAGAUACCUGGUAGUCCACGCUGUAAACGAUGUCGAUUUGGAGUUUGUUGCCUAGAGUGAUGGGCUCCGAAGCUAACGCGAUAAAUCGACCGCCUGGGGAGUACGGCCGCAAGGUUAGAACUCAAAUGAAUUGACGGGGGCCCGCACAAGCGGUGGAACAUGUGGUUUAAUUCGAUGCAACGCGAAGAACCUUACCUGGUCUUGACAUCCAUAGAAUUCUGCAGAGAUGUGGGAGUGCCUUCGGGAACUAUGAGACAGGUGCUGCAUGGCUGUCGUCAGCUCGUGUUGUGAAAUGUUGGGUUAAGUCCCGCAACGAGCGCAACCCUUAUUCUUUGUUGCCAGCGAUUUGGUCGGGAACUCAAAGGAGACUGCCGUUGAUAAAGCGGAGGAAGGUGGGGACGACGUCAAGUCAUCAUGGCCCUUACGACCAGGGCUACACACGUGCUACAAUGGCGUAUACAAAGGGAAGCGAAGGUGCGAGCAGGAGCGGAUCUCAUAAAGUACGUCUAAGUUCGGAUUGGAGUCUGCAACUCGACUCCAUGAAGUCGGAAUCGCUAGUAAUCGUAGAUCAGAAUGCUACGGUGAAUACGUUCCCGGGCCUUGUACACACCGCCCGUCACACCAUGGGAGUGGGUUGCACCAGAAGUAGAUAGCUUAACCGCGAGGGGGGCGUUUACCACGGUGUGAUUCAUGACUGGGGUGAAGUCGUAACAAGGUAACCA